This is a non-coding RNA of Caenorhabditis elegans, 127 nucleotides long. Lineage: Eukaryota; Metazoa; Nematoda; Chromadorea; Rhabditida; Rhabditidae. The record is from Ensembl.
ACUAAAAAUUGGCAGAGAUUCUGGCAAUUUAUUUCCCAAGGCAAUUAGUUAAAAAACGUUCGUUUCGAAGGCCGAAAAGGGAAAAUUGAGAACAGCGAAUAGAAAAAACUGGUAUGUUUUGAGGGAC